GGUAAGCGGUAGGCCAUGGCUGUGAUCAAUCCAUCAGAUGAAACAAAUGAAGAAGAGGGCCAUUUUGGUCUGAAGUCCCGGAUCCUCCGCCCAUGAACCUCAAAAACUCCAAGUGCACCAUUUACUAGUGCAAAUGCAAAGCUUUCUGCUGUGUCAUCCUGAGAAGCAUCUGAGCUAGCUGCCGUAGAUUCUGAUGAGGCAGCCUUUGGGGUAGAUGCUGCAUCUGAAUCUACUGGUUGCUGAUCUUUUGACGACCAUGAAAAUUGCCUAGAAGGACCAUUUUGAACCGUCCGUGGAACUGUUGGAAGAGUCCAUUCCAAUACCGUGAAUGGAAGAGCUAAUGAUCUAAGCAUAAUGGGACUUUUUGUCAUUGCCCAAACCUCCACAGGAGCAUCACGAAACAAAAUAAGAAGAUACCUUCCAGAUGAAGAAGUCCUCAAAGCUCUAAUGGGUGCACGCUCUGGCUUUUGUAAAACCCGAAAUGGUCUGUUAAGGCCACUUCUAAGACAGGUCACAACAAGCUUAUUAAUGUAACCUCCANNNNNNNNNNNNCUGAUUGAAAGAAAAUGAAACCAGUCUAGAAUUUCCAAGCCAUCGUAAUCCUCUAACUGUACCAUUAUGAACUGAGAAACUUGCAGCAACAGCAUUGGCAG
This 653-nucleotide unclassified non-coding RNA is filed under the name Hevea brasiliensis (rubber tree). Lineage: Eukaryota; Viridiplantae; Streptophyta; Magnoliopsida; Malpighiales; Euphorbiaceae. The record is from RNAcentral.